GCUCGACGUACCUCCGGCCAUAGACCCAGCCAGCAAGACCGCAGCGCUACGCACCGGACACGCGAAAAGAGAUAAAUGGCAAAAACAGACCAUAUUUAUGUCGCCACGACGGAAGAGGGCAAGGGCGAAACAUGUACCCGGAUACUAACAACAUAUGACGACGGAAGAGGACACGUGCGUGUUCUACAAAACAGGCACGCCAAGCUUAACCCGGGUGGAGUGCCCGGCCACUCCGACCAACCACUCCUUUUAUUUACACACCAACGAGCCGGGCGAGCCGCUGCCACAGCUGGUAAUUCGCCACGGACAAGCACGAACCGGUGAGCUGGGCUUCCACCUGCCGUGGCCCGUUUCCCCCGACGCGGCGAAGAGCGGUACCUGCCGUACCUCAAGAAGAAGCUACUUAGACGUAGCCCCAAGCACGGCGCCAACCUGCCGCCUCAAAAGAAUUCCCCAGAUCAACGGCCGCUCGUUGAAUGACUUCCGUCGUGUUCACCUUGUCUCCUACGCCUCCUCCUAAACUAAAGAAGAGAAGGGUACCCCGCUUGACCUCCGCCGUACCUAACACUUCCCCCGCUUCCACGACCAUGUCCCCCGAUGCGUAGCAUACUAGAACCGCCGCUUCCGUUCCCGCUAAGGACGCUCUGUCCGCCACGUUUAUAUCAGGGUUUACUGUACCUGAUCCUACGUCUACUUCUACCUCACCCUCACAGUUUACGUUUGGUCAGAAGAACCUGGUUCUCCCAGUCUCAACCUUUUCGCCGUCUACUCUCCCUCGGGUCGGGAAGUUCCUACGGACGGGAACUUCGAAGAUAGGCACGUAAACAAUUGUUUUUCAGAUUAUUACAACAGUUAGGUAGCUAACCCUGAUCAAAACUAAGGCAGCUUCACCCAUACUCAAAAUGUUAGAAAUAAGCACCCUCCAACCAAAACCCAACGCGAUGCGUUUUUCUGCAAACUUACAUGUGGCCUUCUUCACGUACGUCCUCUAUCAAACGCGAACACGCCCGUUGGGUAACGUUCGGUUGUCAUCCAGUUGCGCCACACCAACGUUACGGUACUAUGUUGAUGAUUCCAGCCUGCUACCUCCUACCAUACAUACGCUCGUGUCACGACUAGUGUUGGUACUAAAUAGACAAUUAACACCUCUCUUUGACGUGACUUUCAGUGUGGCUGUGUAUCUAUCGAUAUGUUCCCUGGAUCAAUUCGUUGAUUCUCUUUAAUUGUAGUCGUAAUCGUUCGAAAUGUCACAGCACCCCUCAAAGAAACCGUACUAUUUCCUGCACGGUAAGUGCUUUGAAAGGAAUUUUUGUAACACACCAUUUGAAUUGGUCCUUGUCAGAGACUUACUACGUUGUUUUUGGUAUAUCUACAUAAGUUGCUCUACUCCCGUCUCCUGGGACUUAAAUUUAUGUCACAAGUCCAACUUUGGCUCCCCUCCUAAUUCUGUAACUACACCCGGCGACCGUCUCUCUAACUCGUUAAGUUCACAAAGCCACUACAACAUUGUAAACUAUGUUGGAUGUCCUAUUUGGACAUGCUGUAUGGUAAACCGGAAAACAACCACAAUUAUUAGUGAAAGUCUCGUAGUAUAUGCCUCCGCACAACUACUCGCUACUCUUCCACCUGUGAAAGUUCACCUAUAAGUGCCUCAAGAAGGUUUACGAUCGUCGUGGUGUCGGUUUUUGAUAGAAUUGUCUAGUUAGAGCGCGUUACCUUUAACGUUAUCGCCUGCAGUACGGUGCCUGACGCGUGGCCACCACGUUUACCGUGCACGACUUCUUCCUUUUUCUCUCGGAACCUCGCGACGAACGUCUUCCCUCACUUAAGUUCGGUCUCAAGUCGUUCGAUCCGGUGGUACAUCAAUCAUAACUACUUAAACUCUUCCCGACCCGUACGAACUAACUCUUUAUACCGGAGGUCUGGUUAUGUAAGGAUUGCGUCGAAAUGCUUCAAUCCCCCUUCACCCGUUUCGGUAUGAAGUACCCACACAAAACACGUUUUUACUGUUCAUGCGUCGCUUCACUCUCGCGUUUGGUGGAAGAGUUUCCCAUACACGGUGGUCCGACGGGGUACGUGAACAAGUAGGCCGUUAUACUCUUCUACGUUAAACUGGUGCUGAGUCUCCUUUCAAUGGUCCUCUUCUCCUGUUUUGAUCCACUCUAACACGACUUCGUUGUAUAGGGUAAACUCCAUGUACGUAGCGGUCCAAAUGUGGUCCUGUUACAAACUCUUUAAACCACUUCGUAACAUGCUCACACCCAGUAUACUAGAUUAUCUUCAGCUUGGGGCUAACCUCAUGUAACGAUCCGUGUAUUUUAAGGUCAGUCCCCUUUUCACCACGUUCUUACUCAAACAGUAGAGUCACUCACUCGGUCGGCUACUCAAGUAAUCGCUCACACCUUGCAAACUCGUGAUACCCUACCAAACGUCGGUACACGAAUUCCAGUACUAUGUGGAUUUUGACAUACUCGAGGGCGGUUUUGUACACGAGUUCGCCACCUGAUCUCUACGUUCUCUAUAUGACGGUGGCCUCAUAAACGCGAUGGUCUUCCUGGUACCCGGGGACUUCAUAAGAAGAGCAGCCGUGUUGUGGAAUAUGAACAACCGUGACCUACACCAAUUUAAUCCAUUGUUGUUACACCUUCGUGUACGUGAACGUUACCUCUUUUACGCUCUACAGUUUCACGACGAGCUCGGUCAACGGCGGCACGCCCUAUCCGAACCAAACAGACUAUCUCUCAACCGACGUCUAAGUCCGCCGAGACCACAACCCUUGUUCGUCGUAAAACCCUCUCGACUCAGACUCGUGUGGUAGAGUGUUCCUAACCUAAACAAAGGUCGUAGCACGUUCUUUGCUGGGCGACCCGCAGGUUGUUGCUCGGCGCUGUUCCGAGGUAUACUUGUUGGUAGUUUCUCCUCGUCUAAUACAAGAUAUACGUCUUAAGUCCCCGUGUUCUCGUGUUGUACGGGACGGUCUCCCCUACACGGUUUCCGUGGAUCCUUUAGCGGAGCGACGAGUUUUACAGCCAACUGUACAGUGUCCUUCUUGUCUACGUCGUUGGGCGGAUUCCAGACUUUUUUCUAUACUUUAAAUCACAAACAAAAGCUCUAAGCAACCAAACAGACACACCGUGAAACAAUAAUCUUGGGCAUACAAUAAAGACAUUUGGUGGUUCUCUACCAUUCACUCGUAAGGGCACCGUAGACCGUCCCUGUAAACACUUAAACGUAGCCCGAAAUACAACCGAACAAACGACAACACUACCACUUCUUUUUUAUAAAGUCAACCGUGAAAUACGAACCGUAUUCUUUUUACCUACAACGGGAGAGCACAUCUUGUACACUUUUUUACUUGUACCCGUACUAGCAGACACUCACUACGACCGUGACGUCCCGGUACUAACCCCUCACCAGCGUGCAGAUCGGUCGGACACUCGCUCGUCACCUGCUGUACCCCACGAUGACAUCUUUUUAUGUCUUAUGUCCUAAUCCCAAUUUCGACGACCGAGCUUAUGUACUGUAUUUACGCGACUACGUCACAGAGCUACCCUAGUGACUGCUGGCUCUAUCGCUCGACGUGUCUCGAGUCGGAGGUUUGCCGUAAAAGCGAAGAAAAACAGAAUUUUUUUGAUGA
RNAcentral lists this ribosomal RNA (3637 nucleotides) under Triticum aestivum (bread wheat). RNAcentral's name for it is "partial small subunit ribosomal RNA". The record is from RNAcentral. Lineage: Eukaryota; Viridiplantae; Streptophyta; Magnoliopsida; Poales; Poaceae.